AUACGUAGGGGGCUAGCGUUAUCCGGAUUUACUGGGCGUAAAGGGUGCGUAGGUGGUUUCUUAAGUCAGGAGUGAAAGGCUACGGCUCAACCGUAGUAAGCUCUUGAAACUGGGAAACUUGAGUGCAGGAGAGGAAAGUGGAAUUCCUAGUGUAGCGGUGAAAUGCGUAGAGAUUAGGAAGAACACCAGUUGCGAAGGCGGCUCUCUGGACUGUAACUGACACUGAGGCACGAAAGCGUGGGGAGC
Molecule: ribosomal RNA, 246 nt
Filed under: uncultured bacterium
Lineage: Bacteria
Description: partial 16S ribosomal RNA
Rfam family: Bacterial small subunit ribosomal RNA
Source: RNAcentral